AUCAAUAGUAUGCAAGUAUAAACACCAUGGGACCACGCAGCCGUCAUACCGCUCAGGAAGGAGACGCGUUCUGUCUCCUAGAGAUGAACGUACUUUGGUGCGAAAAGUGCAAAUCAAUCCCAGAACAACAGCAAAGGACCUUGUAAAGAUACUGGAGGAAACAGGUACAAAAGUAUCUAUAUCCACAGUAAAACGAGUCCUAUAUCGACAUAACCUGAAAGGCCGCUCAGCAAGGAAGAAGCCACUGCUCCAAAACCGUCAAAAAAAGCCAGACUACGGUUUGCAACUGCACAUGGGGACAAAGAUCGUACUUUUUGGAGAAAUGUCCUCUGGUCUGAUGAAACAAAAAUAGAACUGUUUGGCCAUAAUGACCAUCGUUAUGUUUGGAGGAAAAAGAGGGAGGCUUGCAAGCCGAAGGACAACAUUCCAACCGCGAAGAACGGGGGUGGCAGCAUCACUUUAUGGGGGUGCUUUGCUGCAGGAGGGACUGGUGCACUUCACAAAAUAGAUUGCAUCAUGAGGUAGGAAAAUUAUGUGGAUAUAUUGAAGCAACAUCUCAAGACAUCAGUCAGGAAGUUAAAGCUUGGUCGCAAAAGCCUAAAAUUGCCUUUUUCAUUGAGGGGAUUGGCAAAAUGUUCCCACUUGUCUUAAUGUUCCUUGUUUUACUAUCCUUGUGAGGACUUCUGGUAACCACAAGGAUAGUAAAACCAAACACAUACACACACACACACAGACUCAUGUAAACUAUUUUGUUUACACUCUCAGAUAGUUGGAAUCGUUCGUACAGAUCUCUCUGACUGAAGCACAUCCACAACAGGAAGAUUUUGCACAGCGACAUGAAAGCACAGAAUAUAUUCCUUGCCAAGAGUGGGAUGAAAGCCAAGCUGGGAGACUUUGGCAUCGCAAGAAUGUUAAACUAGCCUACAAAGUGAAAGCCAAAAUGUCAGUGUUUUGGUGAAGUGAAUUAUGGAGGGUCUACAUGGCACGCCCACAUGUAUGCUCUAGUUGGUUGGCCCUCGCUACAUAUUCGUCGCCAGACCCACUGGCUCCAGGUCAUCUCUAAGUCUAUGCUAGGUAAAGCUCCACCUUAUCUCAGCUCACUGGUCCCGAU
Long non-coding RNA from Salvelinus fontinalis (brook trout), 1111 nucleotides. RefSeq lists it as uncharacterized. NCBI's taxonomy places the organism in Eukaryota, Metazoa, Chordata, Actinopteri, Salmoniformes, Salmonidae. The record is from RefSeq and is a predicted model, not a curated record. The transcript has 3 exons.